This 64-nucleotide transfer RNA is filed under the name Aeromonas salmonicida. Its description in RNAcentral is "tRNA-Met". Lineage: Bacteria; Pseudomonadati; Pseudomonadota; Gammaproteobacteria; Aeromonadales; Aeromonadaceae. RNAcentral also lists the same sequence under 1 other name. The record is from RNAcentral.
CUUAGCUCAGUUGGUUAGAGCAGUCGACUCAUAAUCGAUUGGUCGCCCGUUCUUAUGUAAACCA